AAAAAAAUUUUUUUUAAAAGUUCUAGAACACACAUUUGUAUGCUGUAAUUUCCCACAAAUACAAUGAUGCUCCCAGUGUAAAGAUUUUAUGGUGUCUUGGAAGAGUCAAAUCUAGGGCUGGUCCAUUUCCGUUACAAAUUGGUUUGCUGGGCCUAUGUUGCCUUUAAGACCGUAUGGCAGUCCAGGACUGAAAAUUAAUCCCCAUCUAUGUGUACCAUUUGCAAAAGUAAACAACCCAUGGUAUUUAAAAUCAGGUAUGUCCAGUCUUCUUUAGUAACCACAAACCCCGGCCAAAGAUAGUGUUCAUGUUUUUUUCAUUCACACAAUAACUGCCCUUUCACAGAUUAUAUUAAAGGACCACUAUAGUGCCAGGAAAACAUACUCGUUUUCCUGGCACUAUAGUGCCCUGAGGGUGCCCCCACCCUCAGGGACCCCCUCCCGCCCGGCUCUGGAAGGGGGUAAAAACUUACCUUUUUCCAGCGCUGGGC
Non-coding RNA from Pelobates cultripes (western spadefoot toad), 488 nucleotides. The record is from the annotation of a GenBank genome assembly. NCBI's taxonomy places the organism in Eukaryota, Metazoa, Chordata, Amphibia, Anura, Pelobatidae.